Molecule: long non-coding RNA, 413 nt
Organism: Erinaceus europaeus (western European hedgehog)
Lineage: Eukaryota; Metazoa; Chordata; Mammalia; Eulipotyphla; Erinaceidae
Exons: 3
Source: RefSeq, a predicted model, not a curated record
ACCCACUUGUGGGUAAGAUGAGUUUCUGAAGAAAUCCCAGUUGUAGUUUGGUGAAAUUUCAGCUUCCGAGUGACCUGCCCCAACCUGAGGACCCACCUGGUAGCACAAGCAUAGGGCUGGAACAAACCUCUGAGCUCCAAGUCCUCCCUGACCACUGUGAACAUCCCCCACCCCAAUACUGUCGUUGAUCAGCAUCUCAAGCACCCUGGAAGAGGGGCCAGCCAAGUGCAGACCAAACUGCCUGAAAGAUCAACAGAGGAAGCCAUGCCAGAGAGGCCAAGGCUCAAUCCUGGACAAUACCAGUGGCUGAUCAUCUUGCAGUUGGCAAGGGUCCUGUCCUCCCCUGGGGCUCGGUCACCCACAGUGAAGCUCCAGGCUGCUGGCACUCAGAGGGGCUCCCCCCCUGGGAGUCU